RNAcentral lists this transfer RNA (74 nucleotides) under Pteropus alecto (black flying fox). It matches the Rfam family "tRNA". From Rfam's summary of the family: Transfer RNA (tRNA) molecules are approximately 80 nucleotides in length. Their secondary structure includes four short double-helical elements and three loops (D, anti-codon, and T loops). Further hydrogen bonds mediate the characteristic L-shaped molecular structure. tRNAs have two regions of fundamental functional importance: the anti-codon, which is responsible for specific mRNA codon recognition, and the 3' end, to which the tRNAs corresponding amino acid is attached (by aminoacyl-tRNA synthetases). tRNAs cope with the degeneracy of the genetic code in two manners: having more than one tRNA (with a specific anti-codon) for a particular amino acid; and 'wobble' base-pairing, i.e. permitting non-standard base-pairing at the 3rd anti-codon position. RNAcentral also lists the same sequence under 1 other name. Lineage: Eukaryota; Metazoa; Chordata; Mammalia; Chiroptera; Pteropodidae. The record is from Rfam by way of RNAcentral.
GGCUCCAUAAUGUAGUGGUUAGCACAUUCGCUUUACAUGCAGAAGGUCCUGGGUUCGUGCCCGAAGUGGAGCCA